This 72-nucleotide transfer RNA is filed under the name Capra hircus (goat). It matches the Rfam family "tRNA". From Rfam's summary of the family: Transfer RNA (tRNA) molecules are approximately 80 nucleotides in length. The record is from Rfam by way of RNAcentral. Lineage: Eukaryota; Metazoa; Chordata; Mammalia; Artiodactyla; Bovidae. RNAcentral also lists the same sequence under 1 other name.
UCCCUGAUGACUCAGUAGUAAAGCAUCUGCCUGCCAAGGCAGGAGACUCGGGUUUGAUCCCUGAUCUGGGAA